UCUGUUCUUAAUGAGUUUUAGAUAAUUUUAGUUGUAUUUCUUUGUAAUUUUGUGUUGUACAAAGAUUAAUUUAACAUUUUCUCUGGAAGUAUUAAUUUAGAAAGAUAAUAUGCUUCAUUGGUGUUGUGUUUUGAAGUGUGAAAUGUGAUAAGUCAAGAUAAAGUUCACUUUUAAACUGAACUAAAUAAGGUAUCUGAGAGACAACAAUGGUUAAAUGCAAUACAAUGUACAGGUUUUACUAGCGAAAUGAAAAUUUUCCUGUCCUGUCUGCUGUAAUCAUUUUAUAUCUGGAAAACCAGCCGACUUAAUAGAUAAUAACAAUCUCCAGAUUGGGUUCCUUCAAUAAAUAUGGUCUAUAAACACAAUGAAAUAAGUUCCCCAAAAUCUAAAAUGGAGUGGUAUCAAAGGAGAAUUAAAGGGAAAAAUAUUCAUAUUGAAAUUAUUUAUAAGGCACUGGACUGUCUUAAAUUCUACAAUAAUACUAGAAUCAGCUGAGAGAAGUGGUCUACAAAAAAACCAGGAAGGAAACGGAAUAUGUGGCUACGAAAGGCAAAAGAAAGGUUUACAAAGCAAAUGUGACACAUUUUUUUGAAAUAUUUAGGAAUAUCAGUAAAUUGCAUUAAAAAAAUGUAUGAAAAGAUUUUGUUCAAUAAAAAUGUUUAUAUUUA
This 668-nucleotide long non-coding RNA is filed under the name Diabrotica virgifera virgifera (western corn rootworm). RNAcentral's name for it is "uncharacterized LOC114328513". Lineage: Eukaryota; Metazoa; Arthropoda; Insecta; Coleoptera; Chrysomelidae. The record is from RNAcentral.